This 371-nucleotide ribosomal RNA is filed under the name uncultured bacterium. Its description in RNAcentral is "bacterial SSU rRNA". It matches the Rfam family "Bacterial small subunit ribosomal RNA", at positions 525 to 896 of the family's 1533-position model. The record is from RNAcentral.
ACGAAGGGGGCUAGCGUUGCUCGGAAUUACUGGGCGUAAAGGGAGCGUAGGCGGGUUAUCAAGUUGGAGGUGAAAGCCCAGGGCUCAACCUUGGAAUUGCCUUCAAAACUGAUAGCCUAGAGUAUGAUAGAGGUAAGUGGAACUCCGAGUGUAGAGGUGAAAUUCGUAGAUAUUCGGAAGAACACCAGUGGCGAAGGCGACUUACUGGAUCAUGACUGACGCUGAGGCUCGAAAGCGUGGGGAGCAAACAGGAUUAGAUACCCUGGUAGUCCACGCUGUAAACGAUGAUUGCUAGUUGUCGGACGGCAUGCCGUUCGGUGACGCAGCUAACGCAUUAAGCAAUCCGCCUGGGGAGUACGGUCGCAAGAUUA